This is a long non-coding RNA of Gallus gallus (chicken), 3569 nucleotides long. Lineage: Eukaryota; Metazoa; Chordata; Aves; Galliformes; Phasianidae. The record is from Ensembl.
UCCGGGCUCUCUGCUUCCUCGUGUCUCACCAAACAGCUCUUUCUCCUCCUUCCCCAGCCCGAGGGAUCGCAAUAGCUACACUGGCUACAGGGGCCUGGAGCAGGAGCCCUUCCUUCCGCGGGGUAGGUUCAUUCGUCACGUGUGCAACGCCACGGUCCUACAUGCAAACUCAUGUGGAGUGAUUUUUUUGUGUAGCUUAGUUGGCAUUUUUAUGUUCCGAGUUGAUGUGUUCGUUAUGUUCCGAGAGUUGACGUUGUCCAUUCCCAUCGCAGCCCGCUUUGCUGCCGCGUGUCCCGCCUGUGUCGGACGGCCACGCCGCGGGUGUCCGCGUGCCUGCGUGCGUGCCUGGGUCCGUUCGGUUGGGUUCUGCCUUUGCUUUCUGUCCUCGAGUGGAGUUUGUAUCGAGCAACCUUCUUUUGGCAUCUGACUCCUUAGGUUUGUACUUCCUCACCAAUGUAUACUUUACAUCAGUAGGCUAUGUAAAGUAUUUUUGUGCACUUGAUUUCAUUGGUUAAUAAUGGCAUUGAUGUGGGUGCUAGGAGUAGUUUGUUUCAGUCCAUACCAUUUUUUUUCUCUCUUAGAGUUUUUACGGUUUCAUGUAAGCAGUUAAUGUAAAUAUUGUGAGCAUUACAGGUCAUGCGGUGUUGUAACAUUUUAAGAAAUGUUGCACCUACUUUGCGAUUAAAAAACUGGUCACUCAUACUUGAAUUUUGCCCAUAGAGCCAUUUCUUUCUCUUUGCAUUAAAGCAUAAUAUACUUUUUUGAUGGAGGCCCAACCCUUCUUUCUACCUUAUUAUUUUUUGUUUAAUAAAUCUCUAUUUUUUCUAACAGAAGACUUAAAAAUGAAACUUUAAAAAAUAAUAAUAAUAAUAAUACUUUUUGCCUACUUUCUAAUUUAAGAGAGAAUUCCUAUAUUUAAACGGUGAAAAAACAAAAAACAAAAAAAAAAGAAAAAGAAAAAAAAAAAGUAAGAAUGCUCCAUUGUGGGAAGUGGAAGGAGGCUUUUGUCCGUCCGUGGCACAGUGGCACAGAAGCGCCCCGCGGCGCCGUGGCUCCAGCGAUGAGCUCCCACUAUUUAUUUAUUUAUUGCUCCUCCGCUGCGCGGUGCCGGCGCGGUCGGGGCGUCCCGAUGAGAGGAGAUAUUCCUCUCUGUGUUAUGGUGCGUUUUGUGAACACCAUAAAAAAAAAAGAAAAAGAAAAAGAAAAAGACAAUUAUUUUUCGUUUGUUUCGAUGGAUUUUCUUCGUAUUUUCACUUCUUGCAGAGAAUGUUUUGCUGGAAUCAGCUGCAAAAGUAAUAUUCACAGAGGGAAGAAACCGGUGAUACUUCCCACCUCUGCCGUCCCAGGUCUCAUACUCCCAGUCUAAGGAUUUCGGGGUUAGAAGGAACGUAACAUUUCCAGGGACUGUCUCCUCUCAUUGCAAAACGCCAAGCACGAUGGGACGCCCAGGCUUAAAUCGGGCCGUGGGCACCGCUCUCAAAUUUAAUAGCAACCAACAGUGAUAACGUUGAAUUAAAGGCACCGAAGCCGAGCGAGUUUGCAGCUCAGCCCACAAGCCUGGGUCCUGCCCUUAGUUUGACCCCGCAGGCGCGGGUAGCAUCUGCAGGUAAGUUGGGAGCUGGCGACUGCUGAGGCUUUAGCUGGUGGAACCCGGGCACGGAGCCACACCAGGACACGGCCUCCAGGCCCCUCACUGUGGUUUGUGGCAGUGCCAGCAGCAGCACCGGCAGCAAGCCCUCACGUUGCAGGAUGCCCCGAGAACCCAGUAAUGGAGUGCCUUCAGUUCAGCGCUGAUUUACAAAGCCCAAAACACGUAAACAGGUAACUUAGCUCCAAAUUCGCUGCAAGCUCAGUUCAAACCGAUGUCCAGAAAGCUCUGGGAGAACACUCAAGGCUUCCAAAAAGCCAACGGUGGGGCAGCCGCAAUGUGGCAGCCAGCAGCAGUGUGUGCUGGGGGCUGGGGCUGGGGGGGAAAGCAGAGAGCCAUCACGUACGUGCUCCAGGCUCAGAUGCAGAGGUCAGACCUGGAGCUGUGUGCUGCCACACUGUCAGUGCUGCUGCCACAUGUUGCCCAUGUGGUACCUGGAAAGUCCCACCAACCUCUGCUGCAGGCUUGAAAAUGAUCUGCAAAUGAAUUAACCACAGCGAACUGAAACGGCAGCACUUGCUAUUUACUGUGCAGUUGAGAGCUGAGCAGGGUAAGUCAGGCCUCCAGUUCCCUCCUCUCUCUCCUGGGUUUUGCUCUUUAUUUAUUUAUUAUUCAUAGUUAUUAUGAACACCUGAAAGAAGUUUUUGUUGCUGCUUUAAAAAAAUCAGAGAUUCCAUUUGACUGCAAGCAGCCCCCACAAAACACGGGCUGGAGAGAUUUCAUCUCUCACAUUUUUACCUGCUGUGAGAUAAGAAUUUGGCUGUAAUUGAAUGCUAUUGCAACAGGAGAUAAGGGCUAAGGAUUUAGAACAGAAAUUUAAAAAAAAUAAUACCCUAAAAAAAUAGAACAGUUCUUUCUGGAAAUUUCUAUUCCAGAAAAGAUACAGAAUCACAGAAUCGGAGAAUGGCUUAGGUUGGAAGAGACCUUAAAGAUCAUCCAGUUCCAUCCCCAUGGAGAACAGGAAGGGUUUCCCUCUCUAUACUGUGAGCACAGCUCAGCACAGUGGCACUGCACAGUGGGACCCCCCACUCCUUUAAGUACUGAAAGGGAGCCUAUAAACAGGAGGGGAGUCAGCUCUUUACAAGGGUAGAUAAUAGCAGGACGUGGGGAAAUGGUCUUAAGUUGAAGGAGGGAAGAUUUCAGUUGGAGAUCAGGGGGAAGUGCUUUACUGUGAGUGGUGAGGUGCUGGAACAGCUGCCCAGAGAGGCUGUGGAUGCCCCGUCCAUCCCUGGAGGUGUUCAAGGCCAGGUUGGAUGGGCCCUGGGCAGCCUGGGCUGGUAUGAAAUGUGGGGGUUGGUGGCCCUGCCUGUGGUGGGGGGGUUGGAGCUUCAUGAUCCUUGAGGUCCCUUCCAACCCAGGCCAUUCAGUGAUUCUAUGAUUCUCCUUCCUGCAGACAAAGCCCAAGGAAGCAGUAGUGCAGGUUGGCAGGAGCCAAAGCAAACAGCUGUGCAUCCUAAGAACAUGGAAGAAUAAAUGCUCCUCAUUCAAAAAAAAAAAAAAAAAAAAACCAUAACUUCUACACGUGUGAUUCCACCUCAUGCUUACUUAACAGUAAGUGAACACUCAGGCAGGUGUGUAAUCGAGUACAGAAAGAAGCAGCAGAACCUGGUACAACUGAGAGCCACCCCAGCAACUGAAGCCUUUUCAGAUGCUGCAGCCAAAGGAAGAGGUCUAGAAGAGAGGCAUCUCCUGUAAUCUGGUUUAAAAUAUAUAUAUAUUUAUUAUUAUUAUUAUUUUCAGUUCCAGGAAAAGAAUUUGUUGCUUCUCUCUGAUUUUUUUCCUGGGAUGCGAAAACAUCAUAAAAAUAACAAGAAGUAUUAGAGUUUGCCAUUACCUGUGACCAGUCCUGGAAGUUCCUCUCUGCUUCUGAGGGAAAAAAAGAGAACAUUUACCCCUGAAAAAUAAAUAAAAACAUUAUCCU